UCGGGAAUUUUGGGCAAUGGGGGAAACCCUGACCCAGCAACGCCGCGUGAAGGAUGAAGUAUUUCGGUAUGUAAACUUCGAAAGAAUAGGAAGAAUAAAUGACGGUACUAUUUAUAAGGUCCGGCUAACUUCGUGCCAGCAGCCGCGGUAAUACGAAGGGGGCUAGCGUUGUUCGGAAUUACUGGGCGUAAAGCGCACGUAGGCGGAUAUUUAAGUCAGGGGUGAAAUCCCAGAGCUCAACUCUGGAACUGCCUUUGAUACUGGGUAUCUAGAGUAUGGAAGAGGUGAGUGGAAUUCCGGGUGUAGCGGUGAAAUGCGUAGAUAUCAAGAGGAACACCUGAGGCGAAAGGCGGGUUGCUGGGCUGAUACUGACGCUGAGGCGCGAAAGCUAGGGUAGCAAACGGGAUUAGAUACCCUUGUAGUCCCUGAGCGGGCUGGCAAGGCGCAU
This 448-nucleotide ribosomal RNA is filed under the name uncultured bacterium. Its description in RNAcentral is "bacterial SSU rRNA". It matches the Rfam family "Bacterial small subunit ribosomal RNA", at positions 355 to 825 of the family's 1533-position model. The record is from RNAcentral.